Monopterus albus (swamp eel) is the source of this 617-nucleotide long non-coding RNA. RefSeq lists it as uncharacterized. Lineage: Eukaryota; Metazoa; Chordata; Actinopteri; Synbranchiformes; Synbranchidae. The record is from RefSeq and is a predicted model, not a curated record. The transcript is spliced from 3 exons.
GUUUCUUCCUCACAGUAGCUUAAGCAGGCAGAAGUGUGGAGAGGGAGGCUUCCUGUGAAAGCUAUACAUCACUGUCUGUCUGGUACCUUGUGCAGUACCAAUGUGGGAAGAAGGAUGGAAGGAGAAACUGAGUCAUCUCUUCAGCUGUGCCUCCUAAGGAGAAAAUGUGUGCCCUAUUUUGGGUUCUGACUGAUUGAUCCGGAGCAACCAUAAUUCUCUUGGCUCUGGCUGAGAAACUGACAUAACAAGGUCAGAAGAUGCCAAGGGGAAACUGAGAUGUGUCAGUUAGUAGCUAUAAAUAUCAAACGCACAGCAUGGAGAUGGUUCUUCUCAGAAUUCCAAGGGAUAUCCUACUGCAGUCUGAUCAUGGUGGAAACUGUGUAUUGGUACUCCUUGAUUUACAAUAAGUGAUGCCUUUGAUAGAUUUUUUUUUUUUGUCAUUUUUUUGUAUCAGUCCCUGACCGAAUAUCUUAGUCUGCUCCACUAACCUCUGAAGUUCCUCAAGGAUUAAUUUUAGGACCUGUUUAAUUCUCUGUACAUGCUCCCUUAAGGACUCAUUAUUUGUGAGUGUGAAGGUGUCUCAUCAUUACUAUGGUAAAUGGUCUUAUACUUGUAUA